GAUGAAGAACGUAGCAAAAUGCGAUAAGUAAUGUGAAUUGCAGAAUUCAGUGAAUCAUCGAAUCUUUGAACGCAUAUUGCGCUCUCUGGUAUUCCGGAGAGCAUGCUUGUUUGAGUAUCAGUAAACACCUCAACUUCCAUAUCUUUUUUGAAAUGGGAGUUGGACUUGAGUGAUCCCAACGCUUUUCCUCACCGAAAAGUGGCGGGUUACUUGAAAUGCAGGUGCAGCUGGACUUUUCUCUGAGCUAUAAGCAUAUCUAUUUAGUCUGCCUAAAAAACAGAUUAUUACCUUUGCUGCAGCUAACAUAAAGGAGAUUAGUUCUUGUGCUGACUGAUGCAGGAUUCACAAAGACAGGCUUCGGCCGACUUUGUAAACUCGAUCUCAAAUCAAGUAAGACUACCCGCUGAACUUAAGCAUAUCAAUAAGCGGAGGA
RNAcentral lists this unclassified non-coding RNA (433 nucleotides) under soil metagenome. RNAcentral describes it as "partial contains 5.8S ribosomal RNA, internal transcribed spacer 2, and large subunit ribosomal RNA". The stretch from base 1 to 120 matches the Rfam family "5.8S ribosomal RNA", at positions 35 to 154 of the family's 154-position model. The record is from RNAcentral.